GCUGGCAGGAAAGGUUUUCUGUGAGUAAAUGGAGCAUUUAUACAUGCUUUUGGGUUACAGGCUUGAAUUUCCAUGGCUAGUCCAAAGGAAAAUACCAACAGCUGAGCUCAUUUUUCAGAACACUGUAAUUACAACAGCAAGCCACAUUAGCACCCUGUCAUCUUUGAUAGGAGCCAUGCCCUUUCACAAGAAGAUGUAAGAAACCACACAGAUAAAAUGCCACAGAUGUGCAUGAUUUACAUGGGCUGUUUCCAGGCUGAUACACGUCCCAGAAGUAAGAGUGAGAAGGGAAGGACCAUUUGAUGCUCAGAUAGAUUGGAAACAGGUCCAUACCGUCAAGAAGACCUUGGUGUGAAAGACACCAGAAGGAUCUGGGAGAGCAAUUUUAGGCAAGUGGGCAGGG
Molecule: long non-coding RNA, 403 nt
Filed under: Cyanistes caeruleus (blue tit)
Lineage: Eukaryota; Metazoa; Chordata; Aves; Passeriformes; Paridae
Description: lncRNA (ENSCCEG00000016748.1)
Source: RNAcentral